Molecule: transfer RNA, 77 nt
Filed under: Aureimonas altamirensis
Lineage: Bacteria; Pseudomonadati; Pseudomonadota; Alphaproteobacteria; Hyphomicrobiales; Aurantimonadaceae
Also listed under: 5 other names
Description: tRNA-Arg
Rfam family: tRNA
About the family: Transfer RNA (tRNA) molecules are approximately 80 nucleotides in length.
Source: RNAcentral
GGUCCCAUAGCUCAGCAGGAUAGAGCACCAGAUUCCUAAUCUGGGGGUCGUUGGUUCGAAUCCAACUGGGAUCACCA